RNAcentral lists this ribosomal RNA (320 nucleotides) under Digitipes barnabasi. RNAcentral's name for it is "eukaryotic LSU rRNA". It matches the Rfam family "Eukaryotic large subunit ribosomal RNA", at positions 703 to 951 of the family's 3401-position model. Lineage: Eukaryota; Metazoa; Arthropoda; Chilopoda; Scolopendromorpha; Scolopendridae. The record is from RNAcentral.
GAAACCCUAAGGCGCAAUGAAAGUGAAGGUCAGGCACAGCACUGACUGAGGCAGGAUCCGUCCGGGUGAGCGAAGCUCUUCUUCCUUUCGCGGGUUCGUCCCGCGGGGGAGCUCGGCGGCGCACUGCCAGCCCAUCUCGGCCGCUUCCGUCGGCGAGGUGGAGCUAGAGCGCACACGUUGGGACCCGAAAGAUGGUGAACUAUGCUCGGGCAGGACGAAGCCAGAGGAAACUCUGGUGGAGGUCCGUAGCGAUUCUGACGUGCAAAUCGAUCGUCGGACCCGAGUAUAGGGGCGAAAGACUAAUCGAACCGUCUAGUAGC